AUAAGAUAUCAAGGGCAACAGGUGAAUGCCUUGGCGCUGAGAGGCGAUGAAAGACGCGGUAAGCUGCGAUAAGCAUCGGGGAGGAGCUAAACAUCCUAUGAUCCGGUGAUUUCUGAAUGGGGAAACCCGAUGGGAGUCAUGUCCCAUCAUCCUGGACUGAAUACAUAGGUUCAGAGAAGCCAACCCGGGGAAGUGAAACAUCUCAGUACCCGGAGGAAGAGAAAUCAAACGAGACUCCCAAAGUAGCGGCGAGCGAAAUGGGAAGAGCCCAAACCGGAUGGUUUCGACCAUUCGGGGUUGUAGGGCCGGCAUACGUGAUUCCAGAGUAGGCAGGGGAAGCGAGCUGGAAAGCUCCGCCAUAGCGGGUGACAGCCCCGUACACGAAACCGAAAAGGACGCAGCCGGUACCUGAGUACUGCGAGGCACGUGGAACCUCGUGGGAAUCUAGGGGGACCAUCCUCUAAGGCUAAGUACUCCUCAGCGACCGAUAGUGAACUAGUACCGUGAGGGAAAGGUGAAAAGAACCCCUGUUAGGGGAGUGAAAUAGAAUCUGAAACCUGUUGCCUACAAGCUGCGAGAGCUGCUUUUUGCAGUGAUCGCGUGCCUUUUGUAUAAUGAGUCAGCGAGUUACUCUACCGUGCGAGGUUAAGCGAAAGCGUAGCCGCAGUGAAAGCGAGGCUUAAUAGGCCGACGAGUACGUUGGAGUAGACCCGAAACCGGGUGAUCUAUCCAUGAGCAGGUUGAAGCAAGGGUAAAGCCUUGUGGAGGACCGAACCGUCAACGGCUGAAAACGUUCCGGAUGACUUGUGGAUAGGGGUGAAAGGUCAAUCAAACCCGGUGAUAGCUGGUUCUCCCCGAAAUAUAUUGAGGUAUAGCCUCGGGAAUUGAUUAGCGGAGGUAAAGCACUGACAGAGCUAGGGGUCCUACCAGAUUACCAAACUCUAUCAAACUCAGAAUGCCGCUUAAUUGUAUCCCGGGAGUCAGACGGCGGGUGCGAAGGUUCGUCGUCAAAAGGGAAACAGCCCAGACCAACAGCUAAGGUCUCCAAAUCCAUGCUCAGUGGUGAAGGUAGUGGAACCGUUCAGACAGCCAGGACGUUGGCUUAGAAGCAGCCAUCGUUUAAAGAAAGCGUAAUAGCUCACUGGUCUAAUGGCUCUGCGCCGAAAAUGUAACGGGGCUAAGCAUGGUACCGAAGCUUUGGCAACCUCCUUUGGAGGUUGGGUAGGGGAGCGUUCGCUACGGGCUGAAGGUGUGCCGGAAGGCAUGCUGGACUGUAGUGAAGUGAUUAUGCUGACAUGAGUAACGAUAAAAUAUGUGAAAAACAUAUUCGCCGAAAACCCGAGGUUUCCUGGGUAAAGGUAAUCUUCCCAGGGUUAGUCGGAUCCUAAGGUGAGGGUGAAAGCCGUAACUGAUGGAAAACAGGUUAAUAUUCCUGUACUUGUUGCGUAGCGCGAUGGAGGGACGCAGGAAGAUAGGCGGGCCGGGUGUUGGAUAUCCCGGUGCAAGCGUGUAGGAAUAUCCGGUAGGCAAAUCCGCCGGACGAAUCUGAGACGCGAGUCCGUGGGCGCAAGCCCUGAAGCCGUUGAGUCUAUGCUGCCUAGAAAAGCUCCUAAGUAUAUCCGCAGCAAUCCGUACCGCAAACCAACUCAGGUGGGUGGGAUGAAUAAUCCAAGGCGCUCGAGAGAACUCUGGCCAAGGAACUCGGCAAAAUAACCCCGUAACUUCGGAAGAAGGGGUGCUCUCUAGGGUGACAUGUUUAACAUAUGAAGCCCCGGAGAGCCGCAGUGAAUUGGUGGUGGCGACUGUUUACUAAAAACAUAGGUCUGUGCGAAGUCCUAAAGACGACGUAUACGGACUGACGCCUGCCCGGUGCUGGAAGGUUAAAAGGAGGAGUCAGCGCAAGCAAAGCUCCGAAUUGAAGCCCCAGUAAACGGCGGCCGUAACUAUAACGGUCCUAAGGUAGCGAAAUUCCUUGUCGGGUAAGUUCCGACCUGCACGAAUGG
This 2003-nucleotide ribosomal RNA is filed under the name human gut metagenome. Its description in RNAcentral is "bacterial LSU rRNA". It matches the Rfam family "Bacterial large subunit ribosomal RNA", at positions 1 to 1999 of the family's 2925-position model. The record is from RNAcentral.